GGGCGAUUAGCUCAGUUGGUUAGAGCGCCAGCUCGACAAGCUGGAGGUCAUUGGUUCGAGCCCAAUAUCGCCCACCA
RNAcentral lists this transfer RNA (77 nucleotides) under Planctomycetota bacterium. Its description in RNAcentral is "tRNA-Val". It matches the Rfam family "tRNA". From Rfam's summary of the family: Transfer RNA (tRNA) molecules are approximately 80 nucleotides in length. Their secondary structure includes four short double-helical elements and three loops (D, anti-codon, and T loops). Lineage: Bacteria; Pseudomonadati; Planctomycetota. RNAcentral also lists the same sequence under 1 other name. The record is from RNAcentral.